UAAAAUAUUUUACAACACCUAAUAUACGAAAUCAACAUACCACCCUCUUCCUUGCAUUUCCCUAAGUGUGAAUCCGAUGUUCGUUUUUCACGAUUCUUCACCUGUAAAAUAAAUCGAAACCAAACAUAUAAGAAACUUAACUAACAAAAUGUAAAAGUAAAUUCCAAACACCUGGAAUCAAAGCCCUAGGGGUUGGGGGAUUUGAUUCCCCUAACUAAAACCUACAUUUUGGUAACGAGAUUGAAGCUAAUAACAAAAGAAAAGGAAAACUCACUGGUGAAGAAGACGUAGAAGGACACGAACUCCAGGUAAAUCUCUUCUGAAUUUUUUUCUCUUCAAAUCUUCUUCUUCUUCAAUCUUUUGUUAUCGAGUUCUUCUCCUUCUUCUUGUUCUGUGUUGAUCGAGUGUGAUUGAGAUUUCACGUGUGAAAUUGGUGAGUGAGAUGUGUGUGUGUAUGAAUAUAUCAGAGAGAGAGAGAGAGAGAGAGAGAGAGAGAGAGAGAGAGAGAGAAGAGAGAGAGAGAGAGAGAGAGAGAGAGAGAGAGAGAGAGAGAGGAAGGGAGAAGAGAGAGUUGAAGGAUCGUGAAAUUCUGAAUCUGAGUGAAUGAAUGAGAUGAAGAGCGAAUUUAGAGGAUGGAAAAGUUAACAGAAGUUAACCCUAUUAGACUUGGAUCAAAGCAAAACAUUUUGACGUUAGUUACUCUGUUAGUUUAGGGAAUCAUGAAAGUUAGUUAGAGAUGAAAUUGGAGAAAAAUCUAUUAUAGAAGUUGUUGGGUUCGAAAUUCUGUUAGAAUGGAUUGAAAUGAAUUUCAAUAUCUGUUAAAGUUUUGAUUUAGUUAGUGGAUGCAGUUAAGAAUGAAACUCUGUUAAGUGAUGAACAUGCCUGUUAGUGAAUUUCUGUUAUUGAUUCAGUUGAAAAAUCUGUUGCUAUUAAUUUUGUUAGGAGUUGGAUUUCUGUUAGCAGCUGAACUCGAUUUCUGUUAGAAGGGGCUUGUGUUGAAAUUUCUAUUAAGAAUGAAAUUCUGUUAAAUGCUCUUGUUAAUGUUGCUGCAUGUUAAAGUUAAUCAUGAGUGAAGAAUCAUUCUGUUAGUGAGUGAUGUGAAAUUAGUUUAGUUAUAAAAGUUGUUUAGUUAGAUUAGCUUGAAAUUAGUUUAGAGAGUGAAGUUUAUUGAUCGAAAUUGGUUAUGUCAAUGUUAAUUUGAACUUGCAGGUGGAUGAAUUUGGCUGCUGUUGAAUGAUAGUUAGUGAGAUGUUACAGUUAGAUUCUGUUAGUUAUGAACUGUUAUAGAAAUGCAUUGUUGUUGCUUGUUAUGAAGUUAAGUGAAUGCAUUGUUGUGAUUAUGUUAUAUUAAUUCCAGGUCUGCAUCAAACCUGUUAGAAUGCUCCUUUGUUAACUGCUAAUGAACCAAUUUUUGUUAUAUGCAAUGCAAUGGUUGUUUGGUUAGAUGUUUAAUGAUUGCAUAUGAGUGGUAAUUUGCUUGCAUUUUGAAUGGUGAUAAAAAGUGCUAUUAGGAAUGCUAUAGGAAUGAAUGUUAAUUGCCAAUUGGAUUGGAUGCAUGACUUGUUGUUAAUGGUUAUUUGUUUUGGAAAUGUGUAUGGUUAUGUUAACAUCGAUGAUGGAUGUUUGAUGCAUUGUUAUGAAUGCAAUACACUUAUGCUAUGAAUUAGGUUUGCUUAUGAAUGUUUAAAAUGUUUGGUAUGAUGUGAAUGGUUGUUAUGCUAUGUAUUGUUAAGAAUAUGGUUAUCAUAGUUGUGAAAUGAGUAGUUUGUGAAUUCUAUUGAAUGCAGGGUUGACUUAGUGAUGUGAAAUGUUUGCUUAGGCUUGGAAUCAAGAUGUUUGGAAUGACACAUGAAGAAAACCAAGGUUACUUACAAGUGAAGAAAUUUGGCCAUGAAGUUGAAAAUGAGGAUGAAAGCAUGAAGAACGAAGUCAACUAUAGGUAAAAAUCAUUUUUUUUUGUGAUUUCUUGUAUGAACAUUGUAACAUGAUAUGUAUGAACUCCAUGAAAGUUUUUGAAUGAGAAAAGUUCUUAUGAUCAAUGAAACAUGCUUUAAAUUCAAAUCAUUUCCC
This 2070-nucleotide long non-coding RNA is filed under the name Lathyrus oleraceus (garden pea). Its description in RNAcentral is "Pisum sativum (pea) long non-coding RNA (PSAT_LNC003708)". Lineage: Eukaryota; Viridiplantae; Streptophyta; Magnoliopsida; Fabales; Fabaceae. The record is from RNAcentral.